GACGAACGCUGGCGGCGUGCUUAACACAUGCAAGUCGAACGCUGAAGACCUGGCGUUUGUUGGGGUGGAUGAGUGGCGAACGGGUGAGUAAUACGUGAGUAACCUGCCCUCUUCUUUGGGAUAACGCCCGGAAACGGGUGCUAAUACUGGAUAUUCACUGAUCUUCGCAUGGGGGUUGGUGGAAAGGUUUGUUCUGGUGGGGGAUGGGCUCGCGGCCUUUCAGCGUGUUGGUGGGGUGAUGGCCUACCAAGGCUUUGACGGGUAGCCGGCCUGAGAGGGUGACCGGUCACAUUGAGACUGAGAUACGGCCCAGACUCCUACGAGAGGCAGCAGUGGGGAAUAUUGCACAAUGGGCGAAAGCCUGAUGCAGCGGCGCCGCGUGAGAGAUGGAGGCCUUGGGGUUGUAAACCUCUUUCGAUCAUGGUCAAGCCGCAACUGUGGGUUGUGGUGAGGGUAGUGGAUAAAGAAGCGCCGGCUAACUACGUG
Molecule: ribosomal RNA, 486 nt
Filed under: uncultured bacterium
Lineage: Bacteria
Description: partial 16S ribosomal RNA
Rfam family: Bacterial small subunit ribosomal RNA
Source: RNAcentral